UAGGGAAUCUUCCGCAAUGGACGCAAGUCUGACGGAGCAACGCCGCGUGAGUGAAGAAGGAUUUCGGUUCGUAAAACUCUGUUGUUAGAGAAGAACAGCGCAUAGAGUAACUGUUAUGCGUGUGACGGUAUCUAACCAGAAAGCCACGGCUAACUACGUGCCAGCAGCCGCGGUAAUACGUAGGUGGCAAGCGUUGUCCGGAUUUAUUGGGCGUAAAGCGAGCGCAGGCGGUCAAUUAAGUCUGAUGUGAAAGCCCCCGGCUCAACCGGGGAGGGUCAUUGGAAACUGGUUGACUUGAGUGCAGAAGAGGAGAGUGGAAUUCCAUGUGUAGCGGUGAAAUGCGUAGAUAUAUGGAGGAACACCAGUGGCGAAAGCGGCUCUCUGGUCUGUAACUGACGCUGAGGCUCGAAAGCGUGGGGAGCGAACAGGA
RNAcentral lists this ribosomal RNA (430 nucleotides) under Bacteroidota bacterium. RNAcentral describes it as "Bacteroidetes bacterium partial 16S ribosomal RNA". It matches the Rfam family "Bacterial small subunit ribosomal RNA", at positions 355 to 777 of the family's 1533-position model. Lineage: Bacteria; Pseudomonadati; Bacteroidota. The record is from RNAcentral.